UUUUCUGUUGCACAAUACUGCUGUAAAAUCCAAGGGCUUAACCCAUCUACUACCUCACCCUACUCGUUGUCCUGAGCCACAGAAACCUUAAAGGGAACUCUGCUGUGCAGCAGACCCAGGGAUAGGGAAAAUGUACUAGUUUCCGAAACAAGAACUUAGCCACUCAGCAUUAGAGCAGAAAGAUGAAGACUCAUGCUUGCUGUUCAGAAAGUGUGAAGAGAGCAUCCCGCUGAAGGAGCCUGAUUCCACUGGGUCUACAGGAGACAAGGAUUUCAACACAGCUUCAAAGAACAAAAAGAGGAAAAGAAAAGAAAAAGGGAAAAAAAUAACUAAGGGCCCAACAACUUUUAAAUUCCCACUUGCUUUUUUUUUUUUAAAGGAGCAACAUAUAAAUAAAAACACAAUAAAACUUUCUAGUAAAAUAAAUGCAACUUUA
Molecule: long non-coding RNA, 436 nt
Organism: Mastomys coucha (southern multimammate mouse)
Lineage: Eukaryota; Metazoa; Chordata; Mammalia; Rodentia; Muridae
Exons: 2
Source: RefSeq, a predicted model, not a curated record